AUCGCUUCUUGGCCUUUUGGCUAAGAUCAAGUGUAGUAUCUGUUUAUCGGAAACAAUGCAAGCAAGGAAAGAAUGGGAAAAUACAGUCAAAGUGUUAAAUGAAAAACAAUUUCAAUCAAGAAUAUUAUACCUGGCAAGAUUAUCCUUC
Molecule: small nuclear RNA, 148 nt
Filed under: Tupaia belangeri chinensis (Chinese tree shrew)
Lineage: Eukaryota; Metazoa; Chordata; Mammalia; Scandentia; Tupaiidae
Description: Tupaia chinensis (Chinese tree shrew) U2 spliceosomal RNA
Rfam family: U2 spliceosomal RNA
About the family: U2 is a small nuclear RNA (snRNA) component of the spliceosome (involved in pre-mRNA splicing). Complementary binding between U2 snRNA (in an area lying towards the 5' end but 3' to hairpin I) and the branchpoint sequence (BPS) of the intron results the bulging out of an unpaired adenosine, on the BPS, which initiates a nucleophilic attack at the intronic 5' splice site, thus starting the first of two transesterification reactions that mediate splicing.
Source: Rfam by way of RNAcentral